CUCCAAAGGUGAAUUCUCAGCUAUUGUCAACUUAAUAAAAGCACUCAGCUCGGGAGUCAUUAUUGCUUGCUCUGAACAGAACCACCAGCGCGUUCACAUCCAGAACUUUGUAUUGAUUGUCGUUUUUCACAUCUAUAGGAUUUACUGUUUAUAAUGAAGAAUCUGAGAGUUGAAAGACUUUGAACCACAUUCAGAACUUUUACUAGAGCAGGCUCAUCAAGUAAAAAAAAAAAAAAAAUCGACAAUCCUUCUCACAUGCGGCUUCAAAUUUGUCUGUAUAAGAAAACCAUUCCCUGCUCUCCACCAAUAUUGUAUACCACCGCCUAAUCCAUGCAGACAGCACGGGAUGUCCCAUAACUGUCCCCAGAGCAUCAGCCAAGACACCACAGUAGAUGACAGCAUUCAGAGUUUACAAAAGGCAUGACUUCCAGGCUUGUAGACGAAGCUUUAGGAGACUUCCCAUGGGAAAGAGAAGUUUAAUGACUGAAACAUAAGGAGUCCAGAGGAGAUACAUCAACGUGUGGAGAAGGCAGCCUGACAGGAGCUACAAUCUUCCAAAGGGGUCUGCAACUAAACCACGGAGACCAGGACCGGAAGAUGAGAGAAUUAAUAGCCAAGCUCACACUCCUCCCUCGCCCUCUGUGGUUCUUGCCUGGGAAAAGCAGGAGUCCUCCUAAGGCACAUCUGGUCUCGGUGGUGGUGGUGGAAAGAGGUGGGGGGGGGGGGGGAUCAUCCACAGGUGCUAAUGGGAUUCCGACGCCACCUGCAACUUCCUAUUUUCUUCACGUUAGUCAGAGGCUAUAAUCUGGACCAGGCCUCUGAAAACUUGGAAAGAGUAAGCUUUCUCGACCUCCAAAGCCUGACUCUGCUUUCUAAAGAUUUUGAACAGAAAUUCGAAUUCACGUGGUCAUGAUGUCUAGUGAUGAGACAAGCACAUUGACCUUCUCAGUUACAGCAUGAAACAGGUAAUAACUUGGAAAAACUGCCCAUAAUGAUCCUUGGGUCUGUACUUGAGGUUUUACUGACACCUGGCUGCCUGUAAUUAUCGAAGCCAACACAAAUUUCACAGCGCUGACUUGAGUGUGCAAAAAUGUAAUUUUCUCUAUUUUCCUAUAAUUGAGUGUAAUUUCUUCCCCCUGAGUCUCUGUUCUGCCUCAAAGCAGAGAAAAUUUAAUCUAGCUACUUUCAGAUAAACUUCUUCAAACACA
Molecule: long non-coding RNA, 1208 nt
Organism: Peromyscus eremicus (cactus mouse)
Lineage: Eukaryota; Metazoa; Chordata; Mammalia; Rodentia; Cricetidae
Exons: 2
Source: RefSeq, a predicted model, not a curated record